UACGAAGGGGGCUAGCGUUGCUCGGAAUCACUGGGCGUAAAGCGCACGUAGGCGGGUCUUUAAGUCAGGGGUGAAAUCCUGGAGCUCAACUCCAGAACUGCCUUUGAUACUGAGGAUCUUGAGUCCGGGAGAGGUGAGUGGAACUCCUAGUGUAGAGGUGGAAUUCGUAGAUAUUAGGAAGAACACCAGUGGCGAAGGCGGCUCACUGGUCCGGUACUGACGCUGAGGUGCGAAAGCGUGGGGAGCAAACAGG
This 253-nucleotide ribosomal RNA is filed under the name uncultured bacterium. Its description in RNAcentral is "partial 16S ribosomal RNA". It matches the Rfam family "Bacterial small subunit ribosomal RNA", at positions 524 to 776 of the family's 1533-position model. The record is from RNAcentral.